RNAcentral lists this small nuclear RNA (291 nucleotides) under Neogale vison (American mink). RNAcentral describes it as "Neovison vison (American mink) 7SK RNA (ENSNVIG00000003911.1)". It matches the Rfam family "7SK RNA". From Rfam's summary of the family: 7SK was discovered as an abundant small nuclear RNA in the mid-70s but a possible function has only recently been suggested. Two independent studies have found that 7SK RNA binds the CDK9/cyclin T complex (known as elongation factor P-TEFb). P-TEFb activates transcription by phosphorylating the C-terminal domain of RNA polymerase II. Lineage: Eukaryota; Metazoa; Chordata; Mammalia; Carnivora; Mustelidae. The record is from Rfam by way of RNAcentral.
GAUUGGGAGGGUGACUUGGUCACUCCAUUGAUCCCUUACAUUUACCUCGUGUGUCCCUCCAUAAGUUGUGUUCUCUAAGAGGAGGGCCUUCUUUGAUAGAGGAGUACCUCAUGGAAGAAAGGAGUACCUUUGUUCCGUGAGGGGCUUAUGGUGGCUACACUCCCUUGCCAAAGCCUCCAAACAAGCUCUCAGGGGUCCACAUGGAGGCGAGGUCUAUAUGUAGGGUAGUCAAGCUUCCAAGACUACAGACACAUCCAGAUGAGGUGCUGCAUGUGGCAGUUGCCUUUCCUU